AUACAACAGCUGUAAUUUACUUGACCUUGACAACCUACUUGGAUAACUGUGGUAAUUCUAGAGCUAAUACAUGCACCAAAGCUCCGAUCCCUUGCGGAGAGGAGCGCAUUUGUUCGCCACAAAACCAAGCGCCCUCACGGGCGUUCAGUGUUGACUCAGAAUAACUAAGCUGAUCGCACGGUCUUGCACCGGCGACGUGUCUUUCAAGUGUCUGCCUUAUCAACUUUCGAUGGUAGUGUACCUGACUACCAUGGUGAUGACGGGUAACGGAGGAUCAGGGUUCGACUCCGGAGAAGGGGCCUGAGAAAUGGCCACUACGUCUAAGGAUGGCAGCAGGCGCGCAAAUUACCCACUCUCAACGCGAGGAGGUAGUGACGAGAAAUAACGAGACCGUUCUCACAAGAGGCCGGUCAUCGGAAUGGGUACAACACAAACCCUUUAACGAGUAUCUAUGAGAGGGCAAGUCUGGUGCCAGCAGCCGCGGUAAUUCCAGCUCUCAAAAUGCAUAGAAUUAUUGCUGCGGUUAAAAAGCUCGUAGUUGGAUCUGUGCUGGUCGCCCGGUCCACCCUCUGUGGUGCGCACUGGUGCGGCCGGCUUUCCUGUCCGCUUCCUCACCGGCGUUGGCCUUCAUCGGCAGGCGUCGGCGGGCGGACGAGUUUACUUUGAACAAAUCAGAGUGCUUCACACAGGCGUUUCGCCUGAAUGUUCGUGCAUGGAAUAAUAGAAGAGGAUUUCGGUCCGAUUUUAUUGGUUUUGCUGACCGAGAUAAUGGUUAACAGAGACAAACGGGGCCAUUCGUAUUGCUACGUGAGAGGUGAAAUUCUUGGACCGUAGCAAGACGGACUACAGCGAAAGCAUUUGGCAAGAAUGUCUUCAUUAAUCAAGAACGAAAGUCAGAGGUUCGA
RNAcentral lists this ribosomal RNA (905 nucleotides) under Rotylenchus buxophilus. RNAcentral's name for it is "SSU rRNA". It matches the Rfam family "Eukaryotic small subunit ribosomal RNA", at positions 101 to 1001 of the family's 1831-position model. The record is from RNAcentral. Lineage: Eukaryota; Metazoa; Nematoda; Chromadorea; Rhabditida; Hoplolaimidae.